Molecule: long non-coding RNA, 1036 nt
Organism: Salvia miltiorrhiza (redroot sage)
Lineage: Eukaryota; Viridiplantae; Streptophyta; Magnoliopsida; Lamiales; Lamiaceae
Exons: 3
Source: RefSeq, a predicted model, not a curated record
AAAGAGCCUAAGCAUUCUAUGAGACAACUUGUGAAUUGCCUAUUUUACCCCUCUACAUAUUUUAUAUUAUACAUAGUUAUAAUCUAUUUAAUAUAUAUUUAUUAUAAACCAAAUCUCCUCUACCCUGCUAUAACCACGUUCCUCACCCAUUCAGCAACGUGUAUUAUCUAUGAACCAAAUCUCCUCUUCCACAUCACCAAUGAAUACGUAUUGCAUUAGAAUUCUAUUCCUCUUCCACAUGCAACGGCAUCCUCUUCUUCCUCGCCAAAACCCGCCCCCCUUCGGCUUCCGAUCUCGACGACGCGCUGCACAAGAGAAUCAGCAACGGCCUGCAAUUAAGUAGAGACGGAGGCACAAACCCUUUCAAACAACCAUAUAACGGUGGAGUUUUUCACCGCUGCUCUUAGUCUUUGUCUGGUCGCCGCCUCCCCUCUUCGAAGGCCGUUUGAGGUUAGUUUUGAUUCUCGACUGUGCUCAGUCAGGCCACACCAUCGCAUACAACCUCUUCGAAGACAACAUGGGUGGCCUCUCAGCUCCAUCACCACCAAAUACAAUAUAAUAGUAUAUGUUUUGAGAUAUUCAUGCUUUGCCGCCGCUCUGAGCCUCCAGUCCGCCGUGCUUCACCGCCGCUCUUAGUUUUUUUCCGGUCGCCGCCUCCCCUCUUCGAAGGCCGUUUGAGCUAAUGAGGUAUAUAGACAAAGAAAAAAUCUACAAAGGCAAAAGAAACGUAAACGAAAUGCAAGUGAUUUGAAUUGUUCAUUGCUACAUGAAUUGAAAAAUGUGUCUGAUUGCAUUCAUUGUGGUGCAAGAAGAUUUGAAUAUGAACCUCCUACUUUUUGUUGUGAUAAUGGAAAAAUUAAACUUGCAUUUUCUGAAGUUCCCCCGGAGUUGGAUGAAUUGUUUACAGCCCAGUCAGAAGAAGCUAUUAAUUUUCAGAAGGAAUAUUCGUGCUUAUAAUAGUAUAUUCUCAUUUACUUCGUUCAGUGUAAAAUUGGAUAAAUAAUUGGCAUCUUCAAGACGAGGAGUUUAUUCUUUU